UGGGGAAUUUUGGACAAUGGGCGCAAGCCUGAUCCCGCAAUGCCGCGUGCAGGAUGUAGGCCUUCGGGUUGUAAACUGCUUCUGUCAGGGAAGAAAUCCUUUAAGCUAAUACCUCGGGGGGAUGACGGUACCUGAAGAAUAAGCACCGGCUAACUACGUGCCAGCAGCCGCGGUAAUACGUAGGGUGCAAGCGUUAAUCGGAAUUACUGGGCGUAAAGCGUGCGCAGGCGGUUAUGCAAGACAGAUGUGAAAUCCCCGGGCUCAACCUGGGAAUUGCCUUUGUGACUGCAAGACUUGAGGGCGGCAGAGGGGGAUGGAAUUCCGCGUGUAGCAGUGAAAUGCGUAGAUAUGCGGAGGAACACCGAUGGCGAAGGCAAUCCCCUGGGCCUGCACUGACGCUCAUGCACGAAAGCGUGGGGAGCAAGCA
This 427-nucleotide ribosomal RNA is filed under the name uncultured bacterium. Its description in RNAcentral is "bacterial SSU rRNA". It matches the Rfam family "Bacterial small subunit ribosomal RNA", at positions 355 to 774 of the family's 1533-position model. The record is from RNAcentral.